This 868-nucleotide ribosomal RNA is filed under the name uncultured archaeon. RNAcentral describes it as "bacterial SSU rRNA". It matches the Rfam family "Archaeal small subunit ribosomal RNA", at positions 27 to 900 of the family's 1478-position model. The record is from RNAcentral.
CCGCUAUUGGAGUUCGAUUAAGCCAUGCGAGUCGAGAGUCCUCGGGACUCGGCGUACCGCUCAGUAACACGUGGGUAACCUGCCCUAUGCUGGGGAAUAACCUCGGGAAACUGAGAAUAAUGCCCCAUAGCCCACUACGCCUGGAACGGUGAGUGGGUCAAAGCCCCGGCGGCAUAGGAUGGGCCUGCGCCGUAUCAGGUUGUAGGGGGUGUAAAGUACCCUCUAGCCAUCAACGCGUACGGGUGUUGGGAGACAUUGCCCGGAGAUGGAUUCUGAGACACGAAUCCAGACCCUACGGGGUGCAGCAGGCGCGAAAACUUGGCAAUGCGAGCAAUCGUGACCAGGGAACUCCAAGUGCGUAGGGUAAGACCUACGCUUUUCUUGACUCUUCAAAGGUCUUGGAAUAAGGGGUGGGUAAGGACGGUGCCAGCCGCCGCGGUAAUACCGGCGCCUCAAGUGGUAGUCGCUUUUAUUGGGCCUAAGACGUCCGUAGCCGGUCUGGUGCAUUCGUGGGUAAAUCAACCCGCUCAACGGGUUGAAUUCUGCGAGCACGGCCAGACUUGGGACCGGGAGAGGUGUGGGGUACUCUCAGGGUAGGGGUAAAAUCCUGUCAUCCUGAGAGGACCACCUGUUGCGAAGGCGCCACACUAGAACGGAUCCGACGGUCAGGGACGAAACCUAGGGGCACGAACCGGAUUAGAUACCCGGGUAGUCCUAGGUGUAAACGCUGUGGACUUGAUGUUGGGGGCGCUCCGAGCGCUCUCAGUGUCGAAGCGAAGGUGAUAAGUCCACUGCCUGGGGAGUACGGUCGCAAGGCUGAAACUUAAAGGAAUUGGCGGGGGAGCACUGCAACCUGAGGAUUGUGCGG